RNAcentral lists this long non-coding RNA (4238 nucleotides) under Spirodela polyrhiza (greater duckweed). RNAcentral's name for it is "long non-coding RNA (SPOL_LNC001584)". Lineage: Eukaryota; Viridiplantae; Streptophyta; Magnoliopsida; Alismatales; Araceae. The record is from RNAcentral.
CGUCCUCUCUCUCUCUCUCUCUCUCUCUCUCUCUCUCUAUCACAUCUGUGCUUGAUGAAAUGAACAAGGCCAUGGGAGUGAAAUAGAGAGUGAGAAGCACGGCUGCUUCCAGGCGGAGGCCCUCCGCUGCGUGGUGCCCUUAUUCGAGAUGCCACUAAAGGAGACACAGCGAGCACGGAGGAAGAACGGGGAGAGCUACGGCUACGCCGGCGGGUUGAGAAGGAAGGAGAGCUUGUCUUUAAGCUGCGCGCCCCCUCUUCUUUGUUCGGCGACGGCGUCGUCUUCGACUGCUUCCGGAAGACGUUGGACCCCGAUUUCAGAAACAUUAGGUGAAUAACCAAACGGUACCAUCUAUCGCUUGGCCGUAUGAUCUCUGUACAGCUUUCUAUGGCCCCGGUCUUUCAGGAGGGCCUUUCCCUCCGCAUGAACACUCCCAACUGAAGUUCCUGCUCGCUGCCAUCUGUGGCGGAGCAGCCAUAUAAAUAAUGAGGAAAAAUUAAAUCUCUCUGAAGCUCAAAAUAUCUCAAAAUAGCGGGAGGAAAUUUAACCCUUUUUUGUUACGACCCAGAUGCUCCAAAAGGUCACGCAGCAGUUUGGCCAUUAUUUUUUACGAGGGACACCUAUAAAGCAAUGUAGACUUAGCCAAAAAGGUCACAUCUGCUGUUCGUCUUUAUUCAGACUCAAGUGGAGGGCGCAGAAAAGUUCUCUCUCUCUACUCCUUGAUUUUAUUUUAUAUUUCUGGCUCAAGUUUGAAGACAUUUAACUCGUACUAAAGUUCUCCAACAAAGAUGGGUCACAUAUGCGAUGAUUACAAUUUGUGAACGACUGAUAAUAGUACAAGUCUUAAGAGCAAGGUUCGUCAAAACAAUUACAACUGAAAAGCUGAAGUUUUAUUACGGUGUCAAGUGAUUUCUUUCUGCAAAUAGAUAAUGAAGUAGGGAAGGGAUGACGGAUUAUGUAUCUGACAUUUCUUCCAAGGCAUGAGAAAUUUGCAUAUCAGCGUCAGGCUUCUCCAAGUCUUAUUGAACUUGGUCAUAACUUUUUCGUUAAAAAUAAAACUAAAUCAAUGUAUGUGUAACCUCUGCCUAACCAAGUUUACGCCACGUAUGGAUAUUGAUUGGAAGAAAUAUUGUUGAAAACUAGACUGAAUUAAGUGAGUUUUUAGGGAUUGAAGUGCUUGCUAUACAGGUAAAUUUUGUGCAUUCAGUCAUCACUUUUGAAGAAGGGAAGUGCGGAAAUGACCAAUGGCAACUUCCCCUUGCUAGCUUUCUUUCAAGCAAUUCUACAAAGUAGAGGGUGAUUCAAUGUGUGGUUCUCAAAUUAGUACAGUCUUGAACUUACUGUGAUUAGGGCAGAAGGAUCAUUCUCUCGAUUAAUGUAACUACGAAAUUUUCAGUUCGCUAGUGUAGUCUGAUGAGAAUUAAUCAUUUAGCCUUUGUACUGAUUCAAUUCAGUGGAAAUGGGAAAUCUUGGGCUUCCGCCGAUUCCUUUUUGAUCUUUCCGUUGACCUUCCACAUGUUUAUUCCCUUCUUGUUAAGACGUAUGUUGAUGCUUCGUAGUUUCAUUGAAUGUUGAGGAAUUAAACUUGAGAUCCCUGUGAGGGUUGUCGAAUGGUCAGUUUGAUUUUACGCUUGAAAUUUUUUACCCCUUUUUAUUGCUUUCUAUUUGAAGGCAUUCCGAUAUUUUUUUUUCUUCUCUUGUCAAAUGGUCAUCCCAAUAUUUUGUUUCUUCUCUUGUCACCUGAAAUUUUUUUUCUUUGAUCACAUUAAGUGAAAAGUUAUUCUUCUUCUUGAUGGAAGAAUAAAAUGCACUUAAGCCGUUUUAAUUUUAGCAGAUGACAUUUUUUUUCUGUAAAAUGAAAUUUAAAUAAAAUUAAAGGAGUUUUUAUGUCCCCUUAACCCAGGGUCUCCUUUCAAAAGAAUACGCCGCCUGGGGGCUUUACCAGGGCUAACUAGUAAAAUACCUAAAUCUGGAAGUGAUCUUAAAAACCAAAUUCGUUCUGGUAAAAGAUCACAAUAACCCCUUGUAACUCAUUGCCAAGUUCACAUUAAUUCAGAUGGGCUGCUCAAAUCUUUUGAAGGGAAAACCAACCUCUGACUCUAGAAUGUUUCUAGAACUAUGUAGAGUCCCCUUUAUUCUCACGUAGAAAGUGGUGCACCUCAGGUUCUUCUCAUACUGACAACUAAUCCUUGCUAUUUAUGUUCCUGUUAUCUUCAACUUAGUUUCAUAUGCGGAUGAAUAGUGGUCUAGAUUUUUGAGCCAUUUUCCCAAGUCAAAGUGAAGCUGGUGGGCCAGGAGACACUUAAAAUAUAGGGUUUGGUCCGCAUAAAGUCUAUUCCAUUCUGUCUUCUCUUCUAUGAUAAUUAAAUUUGUAUUUGUUUGUGUCUUCAUGUUGGGAUGGAAGAGAAAUUUGCAAUUGAACUAUCUUGUAGGGAAAUCUCGAAUUCCAGAUCACCUUGUUUGCAUAAAGAUUAACCUGCGAGCCUGCAUAUUACCUGAUGCAAGGAGGCCUGUAGCUUAGAUUUUUUCUGAAUCUUGCAUAAUAAAACUGCUGUACCUGUCCUCGAUCCUAUUAUGAAUUUAUUUUUAUCAGAUGUUUUAUUUUUUAAAAUCAAUCAGAUCUCACUUCGUCUACAUUUUGUGUUUUAUUAUUCACUUUCUUAUUUUACAAAGCAUAAGUCUCUUAGUUUUGGUUUUCUUCGUACUAGUCCGAGGGAUCCACAGGCAGUUCAAGCCCAGCAACGGUGUAUAUUCAAUAAUCUCUUAUUUACUGGGUUUUCAUAACUUAUUAGCGGACAAACAUAUUGAUAUAUCAUUUCCAAGAUGGGCUUUCGUCACGAUAAAUUAACAGCUGUGGGAUUUGUAUUCCUUCCUGGAUUCUUUUCCGAAAACGUUCAGCUAUCUAAUUGACCAUAACGUUUGGAAUGUUUGUAAUUGGUCAUAUACUUUGUUCUCAAUAUUUUUUUCUCAGUUUUUUUUAUUGAUAUAUGAGCGGACUAAUUUGUCAACCUUUAGGUCUAUUAAGAAGAAAAACAAAACUGGGAAUUUAGAUCAUUAUCAUAUCCUUGUGUUCUUUUCUGAAGCGUUGAUACCUGGACGUCUGCCCUUGUUUCAGCUAUAUGAUUGAGUAGACCAUGUUGAAUAGACCAUAAUUGGUCAUAUGUAUGACUUUUAAUUAUUUUUUUUGAAUUAAUAGUCACACUCUCAGUAGUACAGUGUCAUCAACGUUAUAGAACUCCAUGGGCAGAUGCUGGUGGUCUUUGGUUUUCGCAUGCUGCAGGCUAUUUUUUGCGAACACAUUGAUAUAAUAAGCUUUAUAUGAGACCAGCUACUCAUCGCAAGUUUUGGAGCCUCCGUUUUCAAUGAAACUUUCAAAAAUUGCCCACUUUGUUAAAGGUCCAAGCUUGUGGAAACACUGCUAUAGGGACCUGAAUUAAUACUUAAAAUGUCAUCUAUAAGAACUUUGAAUGAGUACAAAUAAGGGGCUUAAGUUUUCUCUGUUCUUCCAGCGGGUGGUGAUCGUUUUUCAUCCUUUCCUUCGUCCAUUCUUUAAAUAUGUUCUCCUUAGAGAUUUAUCUCGAUCUCAAGGAUAGUUCACAAAAGGAUUUUAAAAUUUAUUUUAUCCAGCUUUAAAUUUAUUUAUUUUUGGAGUUGCAUCCCGGAUUUGGCAUUACUUUUUGAUAUAUCUAAACUUUAUGUAAUUUCAGAUAUCACAAUUAGUGGUGGUUAAUGGAUCAAAGCGACAAUAAAUGCCCACUAAGCCAGAUUCGUCAGUAGGUAAGGAGAUGGAUGCCAACAAGGUCUAUGGUUAAGAUCUAAGGAAGGUCCUGAAUAUUUUCCAUAUUCGUGUAGAACUGUGGCAUACACCUCAGGAACUGUGCGGAGGCAACCAGGCAAUCAGGGCGGGCCACCAAGAUGGCGUUACGGCUGAGCCACUCAAGAGGUGCUUGGGCCACCUGCACAGAGAAGUCCGCAUCAUCGAUUCACCUGGAUACAGAAGCAGACAGCCAUUCGCCUACGCGUCUGGCUGAGAUAGAACAGAAUUGUAAUUAGUCACAAUUGAAAUUUCUACUAUCAGACAACAUCUGAAAAUAAAUUCGAUUAAUUCCAUGUAUGACAUCGUUGCACAGAAAAAGCAAUGAUGUGUCAUUUACCAUUCCACUUGGUAUAUUUUGUUAAUGAAAAUUUUAUUUAUUUACUCCCAACUGUUCAAAGUCCUUGGUAGAAAGAAGAAGAAG